Molecule: non-coding RNA, 198 nt
Filed under: Phyllobacterium sp. YR531
Lineage: Bacteria; Pseudomonadati; Pseudomonadota; Alphaproteobacteria; Hyphomicrobiales; Phyllobacteriaceae
Also listed under: 1 other name
Source: RNAcentral
UUAUAUCCAAUCACUCACGGUGCUGCUCUGAUUCCGGAGCAGAUAAUUGGGAAGCUGGUCAAAAAUCCAGCGCUGCCCCCGCAACGGUAGCGAAGCGCAACUUUCGGCAAUAACCACUGGCUUUGGCCGGGAAGGUGCCGAGAGCGUCCACCUGGACAGCUUCGGAGCCCGGAAACCAGCCAUGAGAUGAAACAACUC